UGGGGAAUAUUGCACAAUGGGCGAAAGCCUGAUGCAGCAACGCCGCGUGAGUGAUGAAGGCCUUCGGGUUGUAAAGCUCUGUCUUUUGGGACGAUAAUGACGGUACCAAAGGAGGAAGCCACGGCUAACUACGUGCCAGCAGCCGCGGUAAUACGUAGGUGGCAAGCGUUGUCCGGAUUUACUGGGCGUAAAGGAUGCGUAGGCGGAUUUUUAAGUGAGAUGUGAAAACCCUAAGCUUAACUUGGGGACUGCAUUUCAUACUGGAAAUCUAGAGUGCGGGAGAGGAGAAUGGAAUUCCUAGUGUAGCGGUGAAAUGCGUAGAGAUUAGGAAGAACACCAGUGGCGAAGGCGAUUCUCUGGACCGUAACUGACGCUGAGGCAUGAAAGCGUGGGUAGCAAAACAGGAUUAGAUACCCUGGUAGUCCACGCCGUAAACGAUGAGUACUAGGUGUAGGAGGUAUCGACCCCUUCUGUGCCGCAGUUAACACAAUAAGUACUCCGCCUGGGAAGUACGAUCGCAAGAUUAAAAACUUAAAGGAAUUGACGGGGUCAUAGCUGUUUCCU
This 564-nucleotide ribosomal RNA is filed under the name uncultured bacterium. RNAcentral describes it as "partial 16S ribosomal RNA". It matches the Rfam family "Bacterial small subunit ribosomal RNA", at positions 355 to 1375 of the family's 1533-position model. The record is from RNAcentral.